RNAcentral lists this small RNA (559 nucleotides) under Pongo abelii (Sumatran orangutan). RNAcentral describes it as "processed transcript". Lineage: Eukaryota; Metazoa; Chordata; Mammalia; Primates; Hominidae. The record is from RNAcentral.
GCGGCCGCCAAGGACCCAUCCCUGCGCUGCGGGUCCGGCCUGGAGCCCGCCGAGAGGCAGCGCGACUCCGGACGGUGGGUCUCUCUGCCCCGGUGCUCGCGUCUGCCCCUGGGGCCGGGCCGAGCGGAACCAGGAAUCGCAGAAACAGUCAGCGCCCAGGGCUCUAGGCCGGCCGCCCCGGGUGCCAGGUGAAUUCCUUUCCCUGACGGGCUGUGAGACGUUGGCCCGUCAGCCGUCGUCUUUGGCCUGAGUUUGCACAUCUGUAAAAUGGAAGCUCGGACUAGUGAUCCGUGAGGACCUUCCACGUCUGACGUGUGAUCUCGAGAGACCUGCGUACAUUCGGGGUGCCAGAAGGAAAGCAUAGUUGCUCCGAUGCAGAAUGGGAAUGGAAGACUUUUGAGGCCAACAGAAUGGGUUAGGACGUAUCUGAAAAACAUGAAAACUCUAAAAAACAUGAAAACUGAAGGAGUAUACGAACUCAAGUCGUUGAGAGUCGUGAAAUAAUGUGAACAUGCUCUUGUAUGAAAUCUUGAGACCCUGGAGCAAGAGAAUUUUGGAU